GACGAACGCUGGCGGCAUGCCUAACACAUGCAAGUCGAGCGAGCUGAUCCUUUCGGGGUGAAGCUAGCGGCGGACGGGUGAGUAACACGUGGGUAACCUGCCUCAUAGAGGGGAAUAGCCUUCCGAAAGGAAGAUUAAUACCGCAUAAGAUUGUAGUACCGCAUGGUACAGCAAUUAAAGGAGCAAUCCGCUAUGAGAUGGACCCGCGGCGCAUUAGCUAGUUGGUGAGGUAACGGCUCACCAAGGCGACGAUGCGUAGCCGACCUGAGAGGGUGAUCGGCCACAUUGGGACUGAGACACGGCCCAGACGCCUACGGGAGGCAGCAGUGGGGAAUAUUGCACAAUGGGGGAAACCCUGAUGCAGCAAUGCCGCGUGAGUGAUGACGGCCUUCGGGUUGUAAAGCUCUGUCUUCGGGGACGAUAAUGACGGUACCCGAGGAGGAAGCCACGGCUAACUACGUGCCAGCCGCCGCGGUAA
Molecule: ribosomal RNA, 478 nt
Filed under: uncultured bacterium
Lineage: Bacteria
Description: partial 16S ribosomal RNA
Rfam family: Bacterial small subunit ribosomal RNA
Source: RNAcentral